This is a non-coding RNA of Arvicanthis niloticus (Nile rat), 459 nucleotides long. Lineage: Eukaryota; Metazoa; Chordata; Mammalia; Rodentia; Muridae. The record is from the annotation of a RefSeq genome assembly.
AUGCCUCCUCAGAGCCUGCUCUGUGUGUUGGUGGCCUUGGCUUUCUCUGGGUGUAAUGUGGCCCAGAAAGUGACUCAGAUCCGGUCAACAGCAAGCAGGCAGUGGGGAGAAGAAAUCACCCUGGACUGUUCAUAUGAGACAAGUCAGAGCUUGUACCAUCUUUUCUGGUACAAACAGCUUCUUAGUGGAGAGAUGGUUUUCAUUAUUCACCAAUUUUCUUUUGAUUCUCGGAACCAGAAGAGCAGCCGCUAUUCUACCGUCUUCCAGAAAUCAUUCAAGUCCAUCAGUCUUGUCAUUUCAGGCUUACAGCCAGAGGAUUCAGGAAAGUAUUACUGUGCUCUCUGGGAAAUAGACACAGUGUUUGAAGUGACGGCACAAGUUAAACAAAAACUUGGGCUCCUUAAGCAGAGCCCCCCUGAUGGAGAGAGCCCAGCUGAGAAGCGCAUCUGCACAUCCUGA